RNAcentral lists this transfer RNA (70 nucleotides) under Legionella longbeachae D-4968. RNAcentral describes it as "tRNA-Ala". It matches the Rfam family "tRNA". Rfam says of the family: Transfer RNA (tRNA) molecules are approximately 80 nucleotides in length. Their secondary structure includes four short double-helical elements and three loops (D, anti-codon, and T loops). Lineage: Bacteria; Pseudomonadati; Pseudomonadota; Gammaproteobacteria; Legionellales; Legionellaceae. The record is from RNAcentral.
GGGGUCGUAGCUCAGCUGGGAGAGCACCUGCCUUGCACGCAGGGGGUCAGGAGUUCGAUCCUCCUCGGCU